RNAcentral lists this long non-coding RNA (1073 nucleotides) under Lupinus angustifolius (narrow-leaved blue lupine). Its description in RNAcentral is "long non-coding RNA (LANG_LNC001377)". Lineage: Eukaryota; Viridiplantae; Streptophyta; Magnoliopsida; Fabales; Fabaceae. The record is from RNAcentral.
UGGUGGGAAGGUCCCUCAACAUGACAAGAAUGUCUGGGGACAUAAAAGUGAAAUAGGAUAAAAAGCUUUAGAGCUUGAUAAAUUGUGUGGGAUCAAUCCGAAACUUAACCUAAUUUUCUCAAUUCCAAGCCUUCAAAUCCCAGGAAACCAUAUCAAGGUCCUCUUAGAGAAAGGUUCUCUAGUUGAACAAUUCCAGAAGAAGGUGGACCAAGUUUGAAGGCCGAUUAAACAAAUUUAGACUGGAUUGGGCAGGGGCCGCGCGAACGCAGGCCCCCUCUUUCACAAAUUAUGACAUAGGCUCUACCACUUGGGUAGACCUUAGGCUAGCACCCUUCCAAAGUGCAAUGGAAGUCACAAGCCUAGGCCAUGGGCCUUCUUGAUCACCCAUUGACCCCGUCCAGGUAAGUAUGUUACAAUUGUAGUACUCCUUUCUUUUUAUACACAAUUUACUCCUUUCCCUCUUCUUAUGCACCUGAUGUGGGACUUCACUGCAACAUCUUCCCAUGUUCUUACUCAACUCUGCACUGCCUCGCCCAUCAAAAACCCACUUCAACUUCUUAUUUAGGAUCUCAGUAACCAACACUCACAACUCCAAAGUCUAAAUUGAUUCAGGUAAUCAAAAUAAGGCUGGGGUACAUUCCCAUACACAUAAAAGAAGAACAUGUAAAAGACUUGUUUCAUGAAUGAACAACAACCUUUAUAGUAGUGUCUAAAUUUUGCAGUGUUGAUCGACCAUCUUGCAGUACAUUCACCUUUCCUUUAGUCAAAAGAAGCACCAAGGAACAAGUAUUUCUGCACAAGGGAGACAGCACCAAAGUGUACAUUGCUCUCUAAUCUUCUUACGGGAUAAUUAGUUCUCUUCACUUCCUUACUAUCAACUACUACUAUAUAUAUUGUGUGUUUUGUAUCCUACUGAUAUUAGGCACACAAUUAUCUAUGUAUUUGGAGCUUAUUCAUUCUACACACUCCCCUAAUGUUCAUUCGGACACAUGUUUAUUAUGUAGACAACUAUGUAGACUCCAUCCACUGUACUGUUACUACCCAAUUGAAGUUGAACUCUGAUAACCCACCAA